This 312-nucleotide long non-coding RNA is filed under the name Gossypium barbadense (sea-island cotton). RNAcentral's name for it is "long non-coding RNA (GBAR_LNC004577)". Lineage: Eukaryota; Viridiplantae; Streptophyta; Magnoliopsida; Malvales; Malvaceae. The record is from RNAcentral.
CGUAAUACCCCUGUAGGGUAAAAUGACCAUAAUAUCCCUGUAUAGUAGAAUGACGAUUAUGGCCUUAUGAUCCUUAUGAUUGAUGUGCUUAUGAUUUACAUAUAUGACUGUACUAAUUAUGACUUUGCAUACACGUAUUAUUUAUGACAUGACAUACUGCAUGGGGUUGGGUUAUUAUUGACAGAGGAAGUGUACGGCCUAUAGCCAUUCUGUGCAAGGCUUUCAGCCUUUCUAUGAUACUUAUAGCUUAUAGCCGUUCUAUUAACUGGUAGCAUUGCUGUGAUAUUUAUGGCCUUUAAUCGUUCUAUCUAC